RNAcentral lists this ribosomal RNA (274 nucleotides) under uncultured fungus. RNAcentral describes it as "partial 28S ribosomal RNA". It matches the Rfam family "Eukaryotic large subunit ribosomal RNA", at positions 399 to 676 of the family's 3401-position model. The record is from RNAcentral. Lineage: Eukaryota; Fungi.
GUGAAAUUGUUGAAAGGGAAGCGGAUAUAGUCAGUGGUAUCGUUGGAUAUAUUUCUGUUAGUUUCGGCUGCAGCCCUGUAUCCAAUGAUUAGUUAACAUGAGUUUACUUCGUGGGAGAUGCAAGAUGGAGAGUCUGUAACCCCGGUUACUAUCUGUUUUGUGUACCAUGGGAUAGACUGAGGAAUGAAUGCAAGUUUGGCUUUGGCUCUGUUGCAUCAUGAUGUUGACGAAAUGGCUUUAUCCGGCCCGUCUUGAAACACGGACCAAGGAGUCA